GUGGGGUCUUCGAGCUUGCACGAGGGAGACAAACAGGUCUCACAAAUCUGCUGAAACCCGGAAGUGGUUUGACAAGCUUGCGAGAAGAAAAAAGGACAGCGUAUGUCAGUUUGUUGCUUGAAUAGGGUAAUACGUCAUGGCAAACUGGUUCAGACCGAGGAAACAACCCAACGCAAAUGACAUCAGCAGUGACUAGCCAUCGGGGAAAAGUACAAAACUGGGCACGCAGGGAGACAAGAAGCCAAAAGACAUUUCCUUAUUUUCUGCGAGACAGCCUUGAGACACGUUUGAAUGACGAGAUACGAUACUUCUAAUAAGGCAUUUUACCCAUUUCCCGUAUCGCGUUGAUGAAACGCAACAGGGCCUACACCACUCUCCGGGAAAGGUAACAAGAUUGGUGGCCUUGUGAAUGAAAGGACGUGCCCGCCAAAUGCUCUCCGUGCGUCACG
This is a non-coding RNA of Dermacentor albipictus, 449 nucleotides long. The record is from RefSeq and is a predicted model, not a curated record. NCBI's taxonomy places the organism in Eukaryota, Metazoa, Arthropoda, Arachnida, Ixodida, Ixodidae.